This 5357-nucleotide long non-coding RNA is filed under the name Ooceraea biroi (clonal raider ant). RNAcentral's name for it is "uncharacterized LOC105283080". The record is from RNAcentral. Lineage: Eukaryota; Metazoa; Arthropoda; Insecta; Hymenoptera; Formicidae.
UCAUGAAUUUCAUGAAAAAUUGUAACACGAUAAAAAAACAACUUUCCUUGCUUAAUCGAAUAAGCGAGAAGAUUAAAAAGGUAAACGUUCAAUUUCGAGUGGCGGGCGCAUGUUCAUUGAAAUGCCCCACGCGUCAAAUGUCCUGUGCUCUUUUGCGCGUAAUGCAACGUCAUAGAUUGCGUUAUCGAUAUGCGAUAUACGCAAGUCGGAUGUACACGUGUCACAAGAAGCUAACCACUGUUUUCCCAGUAUGUCACGGCUAUAAUCCGUAUGAAACGAUUUCGCUCGUCAUUGUCUCCCGUUCACUCAUUAUCUCGCAGCGCAUUAUCAUUCGUGAUAAUGUUCGUACGAUUGACGUCUGGUAAUAACUUGUUUUUUACGACCGUAUUAAGGAAAACGGCCACAUUAUCGAUGAAAAUCUCAUAAGAUAUAUUCAUUAUGUCUCAUUGCAUUGCUAGUCUUGUGCUGACGACAUAAUUUACAACGAUGCAAGUGAUGCCUUGGGCGUCGCAACGAACGCGCUUACUUGCUGUAUAAAUAUUUCUAGAUGCGUUGUUCCGUGACGCAAUUAAAAAAAAUUCGUCGUUACGUUUGAUAGAAAAUGUAAUUUCUCGUCCGAGCAAGUAGCAAAGUACGUGUCAAUUAUUUGAAUAUACCUAAUUCGUUAUCCCGAUUAUCGUCAUCCUACUGUUUCAGGGUUCACUCGUUUCCAGCGGGAACAGAAUGAACAAGCCGCGUGCGGCUGCCAAAUAGAGGAAUGUAUUACGAUCGAUAUGUUCUCCUCCUACUCCUCCUCUCUCUGGUUGUUGCAACUCGGGUCUGAGACGCGCGUCGGAGGAGAGCACGAUUGUGAAUCAUUGCCUCGAGUGGUUAAAAGUAGGGAGCUGUUAAGGAGGCGAAAGAAGACGAAGACCAAGACCAAGACGAAGACGAAGAAAGCAAGAAGGCCAAGCGGACGGUGGUUACAGUGGAGACGGAAGAGGAGGCCGAGAGGAUGCCAAACAGACGAGGCGUGCUGAGCACCACUGGCCGCUGCGAGGUGCUGCGUUUCCCCUUUAUGCAGCCAAUGGCGUAACCGCUUGCGGUAUCAACGUAGCGGCAGAAUCGACAACGGCUAUUAAGAACGUAAAUCUCGUCGCUUUUAGUGCGCCAUGAAAAGCAUGGAAAAGCGUCUACACGUCGUUCUGCAGAUUUACACCAUCUCGUGGUCGUGCCAUUACGACGUAAAACGACAUUGUUUCGUCGGGUAUCCUCCGUCGUAAAUGCUUAGGUGGCCGCAUAAUCAGCCCUAAAUGUAAAAGUCGUUUGCACAGGAUGCUUGUACAACGUAAUAUAUAAUAAAUAUGCGAGUCAAUUCUUCAGACGCUUAGAUACCGCGUGUCAUCGUCAAGCUGCAGGGCCGAUUUUUCUGCAAGCGUUGACCGUCCCUCGACGACCUGCGCUGAUGUACUCUGGAUAUUCCAAGUCUCUACAACCCUUCGUCAACCUCUCGCGCGAGAUUCGUUUCUUGCCAAGCGGAGGGAAAAGAAAUCGUACAUUUUACACAGGGGAACUUUCACGCGUUGCCGCGUCUAUCUUCUUCGCAAGAAAAUUCUUAAGCCAGUGCCGGAUGUUUUUCCUAACGGAAAACGCGUUUUCCUAACUCAUUUCAUAGCCCUGACUGCUCUAAUUUGGGUUUUUCAGUAAGAACUUUUCACUUUAUCAUCAUGACUAAAACUCUUUUGGAAAUAUUGUAUAAUAUAUGGAAGUAUCGUUGAUAUCAAGGCUUUCCUUCUCUAUUUCUACUCCGGUGCCAAAUGUGAAAAAGGCCGCAAAUUUCUACAUUAAAUUAGACUAACAUGCCGAGACGACUGCACUGUAAAUUAGUCGCCUUUCAUUCGCGCGCAAAUUUCAUGGUGCGAUCGUACAGCGACGAUUAAUACUUUCUUUCCUACUUUCCUUGCCGCGAGCGUCUAGCGAUACAUACAUUGCUGCCCGAGAGUUUCGCCAGGCGUUUUACGAACUUGCGUUUCCGUUAUCCCGACUUGGUACUGUACCACACAUAGGAAGAUACUGCUAAAAUUAUCGUAAGAAAUACCUAGCUUUAAUGUUCCAGGGCUCAAUAUAAUUGAGGAUGCAGACUAUAACUGGUAACAAGUUAUCGAGAGAAAGCUCAUCGAAAAUUUAUUUAUCUUGCAAUAUACGUCCAUCGAUAAGCGUAUUUACACACGCUAUUUUAUCAUUUAAUUUCUUUUCAAACAACACAUUCAGCCUAUUUUUCUUCUAAACGAAUCAACAACAAGACGCAAACAAAGCGGUAUUCUUAAAGUGAUGAUGCGUUGUUCAAGUUAAACUGGGACAUCACGCACGACGCUUACCCCCCUUUCGCGGCGCCAUCGGCGCGCAUUCGUCCGUUUGUCCGUUAAUCUCAGAGUGUCGCGACUACUUUGCAGAAAGGUUACCCUCCUUCCGUCGUCAUCGUCGUUGUCGUCAUUCCGUGCCGCCGGUGGUAGUGUCCUUCUUUCAUACCCUCGCGCGCUCCUGCUCGUUGGCGGUGGCGUGGGUGGUGUGCCGAGUGGCACAAGCGGGUGGAAGAGAGAGUACCACCAUGUUAUGCAGCCCCACCACCGACUCCGUCCUGACCAACCGGCUGUUUACUGUUUGGCCUCCCGGGAUAUCGAUCCCAGUGGCGUAAGAACCCGCAACCCAGGGCUACCCGACCAGAGCGAGAGAGCGAGAGAGCGCGAACGAAAGAGAGAGAGGGGGGAGAGAGAGAGAUAGAGAAAGAGAGAGAUAGAGAGAGAUCGGCACGCGGUGGAUUUCGGCCGCGGGCUGUUGGCAACCGGCUCUAGUGUUGAUACAGCACGAUUUCGACACCGCCUCCUUACCCUCGGACUCGGCACUCAGGUAAAUUGACUUCGACUGAGUAGCGGCCGUCUUUAAUUGAAGAUACGCUUCGGCGCGGUAUGGAUGAAGCGACACGGUAAAAUCGUGCGACAAUUCGAGAAGGUACGUGAUAACACAAGCAGCUUCCCUUGGAUGUGCGUCUAUCCGACACUGAUGGUUCUUCAUGAAGAAAUUACUGAAUGCAUCCUCGUGCAUCAUAGCAUGAUCAUUAAUCGCUCUCGUUUAGGAUGAGAAAGAAGACUUCUUCACGGUCAGAUAACCGAGAUGAUCGGCAGAGUGGAGUGGAUCAUAUUUGGAACGGAACCGGCAGCGGCCAUUGUUGUGCCAAGAGGGUUGAAGAAUGAAUCUUGCCACGAAUGGAUUUCGGGUAGGAUUAUGCCGUCCCACUUUCGAUUCCAUUCGAUGGUAGAGAAUUUAUCGAGUCAUCAACUUGGUACGACUCUCUCGCUCGUAGUAAUCUCCGGUCGCGUAAAUCGCGCAAUAUCAAUGAUGUCAUUAAAAUAUAAUUCUCAUGUUGCCGAUAAACAACCUCCGGCGAUUCCUUUCAUUUAACAUGUCUGUUAAAUAAUUCACCAUAUGCUUAUCUUAUCCGAGAAGUAUGUAGAGAAAAAUGUGCCAACAAUUGCUAUAAAAUUGUCGGACCGAUAAAGUAUUCGUUAAUUUCCAAGCAAUUAAUGAUGAAUCUUUUACUGCUAGAAUGCAAAUUUUUGGAAGAUCCAUCGCGCGUAAAAAGUAUCGGCCAGCAAAAAUUCAUGAAACGCACUCUGCACGUGCAGUACGCCUGACGGCAGCGCGUGUAUGACGAUGCAUGCAGCGCGAUGCACGUGUCUCGCGGCAUGUUGAACACGCGCUAUCGCCGAUCCAAUCUUUUCGACCCUUGAUUCGUACCGAUCGGUGUGCCGCUACUUAUCUGGUAUCCUCAAGUCGGUUACCUUAUGCGAGAGCAACGAUAUCGAUCUACAAUCGAUCACAUCGAGCUAUUAUUCGUCAAUCCGCAAACGUGUAAAUGAACGUUCUUUUCAAAACUAUAAAAUCUCUUGCAGGUUUAGCUUGAAAAUUGCUAUUUAUUAGAUCUUUAUCGGAAUCUUCGUCCGAGAGGGAAGGCGAAUAAAAUUUCUGCUUAAGAGAAAUCGACUCAGAAUUCGUUGAGUUGAGAAGAAACGCGGCACUGAGUACUAUCGCGUAUACCAAUCGCGUAUUGGACUGCUACUCAACCAUUGUCCGUCGUCCGGUGUCAUCCGUGAAGCGAGGAGGUAGGAGAAGAAGACAGGAGAGGACAGACGCUCGCUGUUCGAUGCACGCGCGAGAGAGCCGCGUGUAACGAUCACGUGAUGUUGCAGUGACUGCACAGCGACCGCGCAAUGCGCGAGCGCAUUUAUUAUGCAUGUACACCCGCAUAUAUCACGGUGAUACACAUUAAAGCUACAUACUGCACACAUACACGUACACAUACUCGCUUUCUGCCGACUUCUCUCCCCAACGACGCAGUCGCGUUUCAUAAUAAGAAAGCGCGCGUGCAUGGUCUCUGUCCGUAUGAACAGAAGUGUUUGGAGACCUUCGAACAAUUGAUACUUGUCUUUCGAAAACUUUGGUAAAUAUUAAUUAAUAAUACUGUUAAACAUUUAGCAAAAUCUGUUUGAAUAGUGGAUAUGUUGGUCCCAACGUAAACAAGGUCUUCGAAAUGAAAAUUAAUCGUGAUGACGGGUCCGAUGCAAAAUAUUGUUUUAAUAUUAAUGUCAUUAGCGUAGGACGAUGAGCAAUUUAGUUGCUGUCGUCCAGUAAGUUUAAAAGAAUUACCGUUUAAUCGGUUAUCGCAUACAACGGAGAUACGCAAGAGAAUAACGAGAGAGUACGAGAGAGAAUUGAAGUGACAAAGAGGAGACAACGUGGAAACAACAGGAAGAAACGAAAUGAGGGAACGAGUGCGUUUUGAAAUUUUUGCAACUGUUACGAGAGGACUGCCUUGGGCAAUCCUGGCAUGGUUAUUCGCCGGGAAUACAAACACGCCUUUCCCCCAGUUGUACAUGCUAGCGAACGAGCGAGUGCGAUCCGCCUGACGCAUCCGCGAUACAAACGAUGCGAUUGCUUUAUGAUCGAUCCUGGUAUGAAUCACGAUUUCAUGAAUUCCGACUGUUAAUAAGGAUAGUUCAUCUCGCACUCGUAACACUGUAAUUGGAAUUUGUAAUAAGACAACACACACACGGAUUGUAACCCGUAAUUUUUUCUCUCAGCACCGGAGCUAUUUUACAAUUGCAAAAUCGUUCGCGCGUAUUAAACGCGGCGCAGUCAGGGGUUACGCGGCCACGUUUCCCACUUAUCUCAUUUUCUGCACAUUUUCUGGUCGUGACAGUGGUCUACUCUCAUGAUGACGCGGUAACCAGAGAGAUUUCUCUCCAGAUGUUCCAAAAUAUUUUUUAUAUUAUGCAAUUCUGUAUCUUAAAAACAGUAAAUAAAUUACAUUCAUGAUGCCU